UGGGGGAUAUUGCACAAUGGGCGAAAGCCUGAUGCAGCGACGCCGCGUGGGGGAUGAAGGCUUUCGGGUUGUAAACCUCUUUCGCUAUCGAACAAGGCCCGCUUAGGGUGGGUUGAGGGUAGGUGGAGAAGAAGCGCCGGCUAACUACGUGUCAGCAGCCGCGGUAAUACGUAGGGCGCGAGCGUUGUCCGGAAUUAUUGGGCGUAAAGGGCUUGUAGGCGGCUUGUUGCGCCUGCUGUGAAAACGAGGGGCUUAACUUCGCGCGUGCAGUGGGUACGGGCAGGCUUGAGUGUGGUAGGGGUGACUGGAAUUCCAGGUGUAGCGGUGGAAUGCGCAGAUAUCUGGAGGAACGCCGAUGGCGAAGGCAGGUCACUGGGCCAUUACUGACGCUGAGGAGCGAGAGCAUGGGUAGCGAACAGG
Molecule: ribosomal RNA, 420 nt
Filed under: bacterium
Lineage: Bacteria
Description: partial 16S ribosomal RNA
Rfam family: Bacterial small subunit ribosomal RNA
Source: RNAcentral